Aedes aegypti (yellow fever mosquito) is the source of this 3251-nucleotide RNA transcript. RefSeq lists it as uncharacterized. Lineage: Eukaryota; Metazoa; Arthropoda; Insecta; Diptera; Culicidae. The record is from RefSeq and is a predicted model, not a curated record. The transcript is spliced from 7 exons.
UUAUGCCUACCAGAUGCAUUUGAAGUCACUGUUGGCCUCAAGUGUUCGGAAUAUGAGUCAAAACGGUACACUGAAAGGAAAUUCACGGUUAUAAUGCAGGGUUCUCACUGUCCCGCCUACCCCUACAGUAAGGAUCAGACCGUGAUUCAAAUCGUACACUGAAAUGAAUUGCAUUGUAAGCCGCACGUUAUUUGAGUAGUUAAACUUACAUUACAUGGUUGUCGUUAAAAAUAGCAUAAAAUCAUUAAAAUUAACUGCCAUUUCAUUGUAUUGAGAAUGUUUAUAAUCAUCUAAAUAUGUUAAACCUAACGACAAGCUGUAGUCAAAACAAACAUGCAAUUUGACAACAUUUUAUAGUAUAAACAACUACAUUAGUUUUAAAUUUGAGCAUGCAUCAUUGUUUGAAUAUUCGUUGUUGUAAAUUUUACCAUAUUCAUAGUACAAUCAAGAAUAUGUGACCAACAAAAUUCAACCGAAGUGGCUUGACAGUCAAAUCAACUGUAUCAAGGUAGUAAUUUAUCUCAGUGUUUUGUUACGCACGAGCCACCAUUUUAUCAUUCACUCUCAUUUGCUAGUAAAACCGUGCGGACAUUUUCUUUAACUCCUUUAAAAGUUGCGUAAAUUCAUGCGAAAAUGGAUAUAAAAGACGAUUCUGACGGAAAAUUGGUGGAGCUGAUUAUUACUAAUCCGGAGGAUAUCGAAUUAACCGAUGAUGCUGGUUCGGACGCUGGGGACAAUUACGAGCUUCUGCAGUUGAUAACCGAAACUUGGUGUUUGGAUCGAGUAGUUUAUGACAUACUGAUUGCCCAUGGAUAUACUUUGGAGUAUGCAAAAACUCUGGACGAAAAGGCUCUGAAUGAUGUGUUUUCAAUCACAAAAUGGACGGCUCAUAAACAUGCACUCCGCCAAAAACUAACGCUUUGGAAAGAAAGUGUACUUUUCCGUGAAGGCGACACAGAACCUGUAGCAAGCUGUAGCUACCAAGUUCCAGUUCAUAACAUGGCAACUUCAUCGGCAGCCGUAUCACCGCAACGUAAGCUGAUUCCGACAAGUGUUUCGAGAGCGUUAUUGGAUAAUAUUUUGGAGCGAAACGAGAAAGAAAAGAUCGUGGCAAAGUAUUAUCAAUUACACAGUCGACUUGACAAACAGCAUCGAAAGUUUUUGUCACAUACCAUUGUUGACUACUAUAUUGCGAAUCAGAAGUAUUUCGCACUUCCGGACAUGUCCAGAUUUGCAGAACUAAUCGCUGAACGUUUUCCAUCUGAAAUAGCUGUUACGUAUUACAAUCCCCGCAGCAACUCGGCAAAUAAGAAGCAUCCAUCAGGUAUGCUAUACGACCGGUUCUACAAUAGGAAGAAAACAUCUGCGUCAACAAUUUCAAGUGUUCCAUUAAUUGAACCAACCAUCCAUUCAGAGCAAGCUGCUUUGAAGAUAUCUGAGACAGAAAUUCGUCAUAUGGAGUCUAACAAAGUAUGGUUGCGGAAUAAUUGUGCGCCCGGUGAACAAGUUUUGAGUCGGUGGAAGCAGUCCGUUCAACUGCGGUUGAGAAGCAUUCAACACGAUAAGGAUAAAAACAAACCAACCGUUCUUUCUGAGUGGCCUCGUUAUUUGGACGAAGACGGAUACUUACUGGUUGAUGUGGACUUCGAUUUCCUUCGAUUUCCAGAAGGCAAAUGAGAAGAGCAAACUGUUCGACGAAUGGGAAUGGUUUUGUACCCAUUUUCUCAAAUACCUUUCGUCAGCUGAUGUCAAAGAUGAUUAUUCACGUCAGUUAAUUACCUCUAUUGAAGACGGUGAUUGUACACAAGAUCGGCUGCAGCAUCCGUGUGGAUAGGGUGGAAUUUAGGUUCUCCUGUUUGUCCCUUCAUUUUCUUUGUUAUAGUAUGAGAUCGAAGUAGAUUGUACACUCAGGCAAAAAUACUAUGAAUAUCCAUUAUUUUCCCUUAUGUUUAUUUGCCACAAGAAAUCGGUAAGUAUUUCAUUGAUUCACCUUAUGAAUUGAUCUGAAUCAUGCCAAUGGGGUGUCUUGCUCAUUUCAUAAAACAGCAUUAUGAAAAUUGAAAUGAUAAUUUAAGAAUUUCUUCUAUUAGCAGUAUAAACUACAUUAGUUUUUAUGACACUAAUUAUUAUUCCACAGUUCGUUUUUUAUACCUCGUGGACAAUACAACAAUUUUCAUUCUGAAUAUUUACAGAAUUUCCUAUGUGUUCAUCUACUUAAUAUUAGGUAACUGAUUUCCUAACGUGUGGAAAUCGAAUUUCCACCUACUUUGUCGUGUUGCUACUCGAUUUACAACAAUACGUAGUAAAGUACUGAUGCAUAUUGAGCUGCGACGCGACGAAGGAUAAAAAUUCGAUUUUAACACGUUUUAACAGCCAAAGCAAAACAGAUAAUAAUGAAAUAUGCAAUACAUCAGAACCCUCAUUCUCCUUUUAUUCAACUAAUUUUUCUUUUUCUAUUUUUUUUUUUACAAUUUCCACCUUUGUGCAUUGCCAUAGUUCCUUCCCCCGUAACUAGACAACUUAUUACCUUUGAAAACAUCCGAACAAAAUGAUGGUGCUUCCGUACAUAAAUCCGCAAUCAGCGUCCAAUACAAUGCUUCCAAUUGCAAAUUUUCAUAAUAACAACCUUAUGAGUUUUUCACACUAGUCACAGCUAUGUGAAUCAUAAGGUAGCCUAAUGAAAUUGAUACAUGUUAAUGAGGUCUAUCAUGCUUCACAAUUAUGCUUUUCAUCGAACUAAUAUGAAAUCCAUAAUAGCCUUAUGAAAGAUGGUAUCAUUGAGGAAAUGACUAAUGACGGCAAUGGAAAUCAUAAGGCGCGCAAUGAAAUUUGUAAAUGUUCAUUAUAAUUACCUAAUUUCUCAAUUAUGAUUACCAUUUUUACGAUAUGAAAUCCAUAUUAGCCUUCUGAAAUAGGUUUUUAUAGAUUUUUCAAUGCUUCAUAAGGGAAAAUUUAUGGAAUUCGUUAAUUAAUUUGCCUGAGUGUAUGAUAUGAUGAUGUAGUUAUGAAUAAAUCAAGUAACUAUCAAUCUUUAUGAGCUUUGACAAGGUAUGAUAAAAUGUAGGAGAUGGUCAAAAAGCCACCUGAAAAUUAUUGAGCUAUCAAACUAUUAGGAUAUUUUAUACGUAGCUAAUCUUCGGGAAAUUUAUGUAUAGUGUAUGUGUAUAGUGAGUGUAGGGAAGUAGUAUCGCACCCCCAAGCCCAUUCGAACUACAUCACUGGAUAAGACAAACCAACUGCGAACAUCAGCC